This 550-nucleotide small RNA is filed under the name Pongo abelii (Sumatran orangutan). RNAcentral describes it as "retained intron". The record is from RNAcentral. Lineage: Eukaryota; Metazoa; Chordata; Mammalia; Primates; Hominidae.
CACUAGGGGGCGCGUCUCUGAGGGCCGGGCCUGCGCCUCCGACGCUGACUUCCUCAGCGCAGCCACCACUGUCUCCGGUGGCAAGUCGACCAGCUCCUCCCACACGGAUUCUGUGUAGAAAUCCACGGACAAGGCUUUGCUUUUCGAAGAAAGCUGAGAAUACAGCAAAGUUACAAGAAAUUGCUACGGAAGGAAAAGAAGCCUCAAACGUCACUGGAAUCUCAAUUCACAGAUCGAUACCCAGAUAAUCUGAAACAUCUCUAUUUAGCUGAAGAGGAAAGACUUAGGAAGCAACCAAGAAAAGUCGACCAUCCUUUGUCAGAACAAGUUCACCAGCCUUUGCUUGAAGAACAGCGUAGCAUUGACCAGCCUUUAUUUGAAGAUCAGUGUAGCUUUGACCAGCCUCAGCCAGAACAAUGUAUUAAAACAGUGAAGUAUGUAUUUUCUUCAUUUGAAAUCCUUUAAGUGUUGUUUUAUUAUUUAAAAGUACUAUAGGAUAAUUUACAUAGGAAUUGGAUUUUUUCUUAUUUAACACAUUUUAGAAGUCACA